CUCGAGAACAUCCUGAUGAAAGACGACGAUUAUUCUGUCGCUGUAGAGCCUACCCAGCAAUUUUCCAACGAAUUUUUGGCUGAUAUUCUUGUUGAUUCUCCUCCCGUUGUUUCCGCUGAAGUCGUCGAUGCAGCCACCGACAAGGACUCCAGUGCUUCCGAUAAUGGUACUGGUAGUGCUUCAGAGACGGAAAAGGAUAGGAAGAAGGUGGUUGAUGAUGGAGUUGAGGUAAAAAGCGACGGUGAGGAUCACGAUGAUCCUAUCUCUAAGAAACGGAGAAGGCAGUUGAGAAAUAGGGAUGCAGCUGUUAGAUCAAGAGAAAGGAAGAAGAUGUAUGUGAGGGAUCUGGAAAUUAAGAGUAGGUAUUUGGAAGGGGAAUGCAGAAGACUGGGGCAGUUGCUUCAGUGUUUUAUGGCAGAGAAUCAAGCUCUACGUCUUAGUUUGCAGAAGGGCAAUGCAUUUGGUGUUACCUCAGCCAAGCAGGAGUCUGCUGUGCUCUUGUUGGAAUCCCUGCUGUUGGGUUCCCUGCUUUGGUUCCUGGGCAUCAUGUGCCUGUUCACUCUGCCCACACUUCCAGAGUCAAUUCCGGUGUCAGUUUCACAGGAAAACGCGGAAAAGAAAGUACCAGAAAGAGGAGCAGGAAGUAAGAUGUUUACAUCCUUGGUAAUACAAUCUUCUGUGAACAGUAGGAGAUGCAAAGCAUCAAGGACGAGAAUGAAAUCAAGAUCCAUAUUCGUUGGAGUCUUGGUGGGAGGCUCUCUUCUUUAGAGUAACUUAUUGGGAGUAUCUAUAAUCUCCACUUCUUUCAGUCUUUUCCUGUUUCAUUUAGUCUUAUAUCGUGUAUUUUGAUGGAAUGGGAGAAUAUUUU
This 868-nucleotide unclassified non-coding RNA is filed under the name Hevea brasiliensis (rubber tree). The record is from RNAcentral. Lineage: Eukaryota; Viridiplantae; Streptophyta; Magnoliopsida; Malpighiales; Euphorbiaceae.